AGUGAACGCUGGCGGUAGGCCUAACACAUGCAAGUCGAACGGCAGCACAGUAAGAGCUUGCUCUUACGGGUGGCGAGUGGCGGACGGGUGAGGAAUACAUCGGAAUCUACUUUUUCGUGGGGGAUAACGUAGGGAAACUUACGCUAAUACCGCAUACGACCUACGGGUGAAAGCAGGGGAUCUUCGGACCUUGCGCGAUUGAAUGAGCCGAUGUCGGAUUAGCUAGUUGGCGGGGUAAAGGCCCACCAAGGCGACGAUCCGUAGCUGGUCUGAGAGGAUGAGCACCCACAGGGGAACUGAGACGCGGACCAGCCUCCUGCGGGGGGCAGAAGGGGGGAAUGUUGGAAAGGGGGCGAAAGCAGGACCCACCCAUAGGGGGGGGGAAAAGAAGGCUUGGGGGUUGAAAAGCCGUUUUGUGGGAAAAAAAAAGCAGCAGGUAAAUACCGCGCUGUUGGGAGGGUACAAAAAAAAAAAGCACGGGCAAACUUCGUG
RNAcentral lists this ribosomal RNA (492 nucleotides) under uncultured bacterium. Its description in RNAcentral is "partial 16S ribosomal RNA". It matches the Rfam family "Bacterial small subunit ribosomal RNA", at positions 30 to 507 of the family's 1533-position model. The record is from RNAcentral.